CGGCGGGCAUGGAGGAGGCAGUGAAAGUUCCCGCUGGAGUGAGUGACAGUGUGUGACAGAAUGUGUGACACUCUACGGAGAAUAAAGUGACAGAGGAACAGUAUAGUGUGUCCCCAGAGGUAUGUGCUUACACGAGGGAGAGGAGAGACUGGCACAAACAACCUGUGUGAUUCUCUCUAUUCCUACAGCGAGGGAGUCCGAUUUCACGGCAAGGGAGGGCGCUCAAUGCACACCCAAAAGCGACGCGAGGUGGGGGAAGUUUCAAUACCACUACAAGAGAGUUCGAUCGUACAACAAGAGCUCGGAUCCCACAUCGGGCAGCGGCGUUAUCGAGACACAGCCGAGCAGCGAUAGAGGCGACGCUGAUAUAUGGACCUGGAGGAUCUUUUCCCGGCUUGAACAGGAAGAAGUUACAAGGCGUCAGAUCCGGGCUGCGGGCUGGCCAUUCGUGCGUACCACGUCUUCUGACAUUUCCAAAUAUCAUCUGCCGAGUAGAUACCAGUUGAAGUGUCUGUAAAAAGUCAAAAUGAAGCUGUAUGCUGUCACCUGUGCACCACAGACCGCACUCCCUCACCCCACGCCCCCUGCCACCGUGAUCUUGGCGGAGACCAUCGUGACGACUCCCCAUCACCCGCAGGCGCCAAUGUGAUCAUUUCGCGCCCUUCUGGCACCAGAAGGGAGGAGGUGCCAGGCUGAGGGUGUCCGUCAAUGCCCUCUUGCUUGACGCAAUAAUGAAGUGUCAUGUUGGUGUCACCACGCUGUGAGAUUGCUUGUUUGCAUUGCAGCCAUA
Portunus trituberculatus (swimming crab) is the source of this 790-nucleotide RNA transcript. RefSeq lists it as uncharacterized. Lineage: Eukaryota; Metazoa; Arthropoda; Malacostraca; Decapoda; Portunidae. The record is from RefSeq and is a predicted model, not a curated record. The transcript is spliced from 4 exons.